UACGAAGGGGGCUAGCGUUGCUCGGAAUUACUGGGCGUAAAGGGCGCGUAGGCGGGAUGGCAAGUCGGUCGUGAAAUCCCUCGGCUCAACUGAGGAUCGUCGAUCGAUACUGCCGUUCUUGAGGAUUGCAGAGGAGACUGGAAUUCCCGGUGUAGCGGUGAAAUGCGCAGAUAUCAGGAAGAGCACCCGUGGCGAAGGCGGCUCUCUGGGACGGUACUGACGCUGAGACGCGAAAGCGUGGGGAGCGAACAGG
Molecule: ribosomal RNA, 253 nt
Filed under: uncultured bacterium
Lineage: Bacteria
Description: partial 16S ribosomal RNA
Rfam family: Bacterial small subunit ribosomal RNA
Source: RNAcentral